UACAGAGGGGGCAAGCGUUGUUCGGAAUUACUGGGCGUAAAGGGCGCGUAGGCGGCCUGUUAAGUCAGACGUGAAAUCCCUCGGCUCAACCGGGGAACUGCGUCUGAUACUGGCGGGCUUGAAUUCGGGAGAGGGAUGUGGAAUUCCCAGUGUAGAGGUGAAAUUCGUAGAUAUAGGAAGGAACACCAGUGGCGAAGGCGACCACCUGGACUGAUACUGACACUGAGGUGCGAAAGCGUGGGGAGCAAACAGG
Molecule: ribosomal RNA, 253 nt
Filed under: uncultured bacterium
Lineage: Bacteria
Description: partial 16S ribosomal RNA
Rfam family: Bacterial small subunit ribosomal RNA
Source: RNAcentral